Molecule: ribosomal RNA, 23 nt
Filed under: Goodenia modesta
Lineage: Eukaryota; Viridiplantae; Streptophyta; Magnoliopsida; Asterales; Goodeniaceae
Description: partial 25S large subunit ribosomal RNA
Source: RNAcentral
GCAACCCCAGGUCAGGCGGACUA